Non-coding RNA from Styela clava, 523 nucleotides. The record is from RefSeq and is a predicted model, not a curated record. Lineage: Eukaryota; Metazoa; Chordata; Ascidiacea; Stolidobranchia; Styelidae.
UAAUUAUAUAGCUCAAUAAAUACCCCGUGGACAUUUUACAAGUUAGGCCAAUAGGACUCUGGUAUAUUGUUAAAUUGUAGAACAGCAAUCGCCUAGACAUGAAGCAAGUUACGGUUCUGUUCGCUGUUUUGAUUUUUUUGAAUGCUUUCUCGGUUGACUUGACGGGAAGAAGAUUGGAAGAUGGAUCUAAUGCUCUGAAAUUAGAAGGACCUCCUGGAGUUUCAGAUCCUAUGCCACACAAUUCACGGAGAACCAAACCACCAACCAAACUUUUUCCUCCCGGACCAAAUUCGUGAUAACAGAAAUCUUUCGUCUCGUUGAGAUGUACGACAACACAACUUUAUAAUUAAAAACUGGUAUACAAAUAAUAGCAGAUAUUGACUGUUUAAAUAUUGGGAUUUUAUUGUUAUUCGAGCUCAUGUUGACCUAUUUCGUUAUAUUUUUGUUGUUCCACAUUUUGUUUUUGAUUGCAGAAUCAAUUGAAUAGAUAUUUUCAGCGAUUAAAAAUAAAAAUUUUCUUUCU